AUUGAACGCUGGCGGCAUGCCUUACACAUGCAAGUCGAACGGUAACGCGGGGCAACCUGGCGACGAGUGGCGAACGGGUGAGUAAUGCAUCGGAACGUGCCCAGUAGUGGGGGAUAGCCCGGCGAAAGCCGGAUUAAUACCGCAUACGACCUACGGGUGAAAGCGGGGGACCGUAAGGCCUCGCGCUAUUGGAGCGGCCGAUGUCAGAUUAGGUAGUUGGUGGGGUAAAGGCCUACCAAGCCUUCGAUCUGUAGCUGGUCUGAGAGGACGACCAGCCACACUGGGACUGAGACACGGCCCAGACUCCUACGGGAGGCAGCAGUGGGGAAUUUUGGACAAUGGGCGCAAGCCUGAUCCAGCCAUGCCGCGUGAGUGAAGAAGGCCUCGGUUGUAAG
RNAcentral lists this ribosomal RNA (395 nucleotides) under uncultured bacterium. RNAcentral's name for it is "bacterial SSU rRNA". It matches the Rfam family "Bacterial small subunit ribosomal RNA", at positions 29 to 429 of the family's 1533-position model. The record is from RNAcentral.